AGACAGCAGGGGGUUCACAUGUUACCUGGAGGAAGCGGGAACAGGAUGGGACGAUUAUACCGCAACGUAUGAGAAAAACUCAAUCUGUUAAAUCUGGCCACACUAGUCAGUUUUCAGAAGCUGAGGUGUCACAGACUGAUGAUGAUCCUCCAGAGCUCCCAAAUCUUUAGCAACAUCUUCAGGAACUCAGGGAUCUCGUGAACUCUGUCAUUGUCCCUGCAUCAGUCCAAGUGGAGGAGACACCUGCCAUGUCUACAUGGACUAAAAGACAGUCCGCUGUUGAAAAAAAGUUCCGAACUGCAGUGCCAGAGCUGUUGGAUAGCAAAUUUGCCGCUGAGACAGUCCAUACAGCCUCUAUCUGCCUGCUGUGUGCUGUCCCCUUUGUUCCUCCAAAUGGACCCCAGGGAUGAGUGAUUUCCUUGGCCUCAAAUAUUGGCCAGCAACCCCAAGGUUCCAGUUGCUGUUCAAAUUUGAUGUGUUCACAUCAUUUCAGCAGAUGAAGUUAGACAGCCCAGCUUUAUCACAGCAAGCGUUUAUCAGAAUGCUUGAACAUGGAGCCCUUAGUACAGGAC
This is a long non-coding RNA of Melanotaenia boesemani (Boeseman's rainbowfish), 572 nucleotides long. RefSeq lists it as uncharacterized. The transcript is spliced from 4 exons. The record is from RefSeq and is a predicted model, not a curated record. NCBI's taxonomy places the organism in Eukaryota, Metazoa, Chordata, Actinopteri, Atheriniformes, Melanotaeniidae.